This 521-nucleotide ribosomal RNA is filed under the name uncultured eukaryote. RNAcentral describes it as "eukaryotic LSU rRNA". The stretch from base 149 to 302 matches the Rfam family "5.8S ribosomal RNA". The record is from RNAcentral.
UUCCGUAGGUGAACCUGCGGAAGGAUCAUUUACGCCAUAAUUAUCCUUCUUGUUGUUUCUCUUCGGAGAUUCAACAGAAACCUUAAGUCUUCUGAAGAACUUCGGUUCAGAUGAAGCGACUUCGGAUUAACCGAUUUUAAAAAAUGAAAAUUUUCAACGGUGGAUAUCUUGGUUUCCGUACCGAUGAAGAACGCAGCGAACUGCGAUAAGCAAUGCGAAUUGCAGAACCCGUGAGUCAUUUGGUCUUCGAACGCAGCAUGCACUUGAGGGCAUUUCUCUCAAGUAUGUCUAGUUCAGUGUCGCUGAUUAUAACACAACAAAAUGUCUUUGAACUGUCUAACAGUUCUCAGAUUAAGCAUGAAUGCGAAGCAUUUCAAUCCAACGAAGUAGUCACAAUUUGGUGUUUAACACCAGUCGUGAUUUCGUUGUUUAAUUGAAUUGUCCUAGCAUAGAUACGCUAGUCUUUAAACAUAAUCAAGAUCUGAUCUUAGGCAAGAGUACCCGCCGAACUUAAGCAUAUC